CUUAGAUUGAUGCUCAUGCUGUUGAUCACUUGAUUGUCUGGUCCAGACUCAAUUAUUUACAGACGGUGCCAUAUAGCUGGAAUAUUGCUGAGUGCGGCGUUAAACAACAACCAAACCAAACAUAUAUAAAAGUGAUCUAAGAUGCCUGGAGUCAUGCUCCUUGGUCGAGUCAGUGUCGUCUGAUUGGAUUAACAUAGUAUUUGUCUUUGUGACCUUGACCUUGAACUACACUAUCACUGGCACGUGUAUGUAAACAGUGCAACUAACCACCUUCAGUGACGAAGAUAAGUGAUGUUAUUCCAUCCUGAUGUUAUUGCACCAUGAAGGUCUGAAAAGGUUGUGAUGCAAUCUGGUUGAACAAUGUCCCCUUGGAGACAGAUCUUGAUCAUCAAAGUGAUAUCUCCUGUGGAAACCAGUUACGGAUGAUAAAUAUUGCCUGUUUAAUAAUGAGUUAGAUAACCAGCAUAUUUGAUUAAAUGACAAAGAUGACAAACUUUGAGAUGGUUUCCUUUGUCUAACACCUCUCAAUAUAUUUGGAUAAUGAUUGACCUCAUCUGGGUUUCUAAAAUGAAUACUAGUACUGAAUUUAAUUAAACAUGUUUUUGUAACGCCUUUUCGCAGUAAGAGAGCUACCCAUUUGAUGGCCAUCCAAAUCACUCAAUAGGAGUGUUCAACACAACAAGGCUGAAUGACGACCUUGACCUAGAUUCAGACAUAUAUGACACAUGUCAGUGAUUUGUCUCUUUGACUUCUGGCAAUAGCUGCAUAUGUUGUAGUGUUGUAGCUCCACUGUGUGGUGCAGCAUGGCUGAUGAAAGGCUUAUCGUAAGCAGCAUAAACUUGCAGGGGUAUAGCUACCAUUAUAAAAAUCCUGGGCUUACACCUGAUUGUUGCUAAAAAGUUGGGCAAGCCCUCAAUACUAUCUUAACAUAAACCUUUGAAACCUAUCUGGCUUACACGAAAAAAUUGGCUUGCUAUGCACCUGACUGGUGUGUGGUUGCCCUGUGGUUGCCCUGUUCAGGACAUGGCAGGUCAUUUGGCAUGGGGAAACUGCAUGUAACUGCAAGAAGAUAUCCUGCACAGACCAUAUGGUCUGUUUUGUGUACAUCGGAACAAGUAUAGGAUCUACUGUGAGUACACACGCACAGGCAUAUGAUGCACUACUAAUACACCAUACACAGGUGUAACGUGUAUGGCAACUACACAGGUAUGAGAUGUACCGUGUUACACAGGUAUGAGAUGUACCGUGUUACACAGGUAUCAGAUGUACCGUGUUACACAGGUAUGAGAUGUACCAUGUUACACAGGUAUAAGAUGUACCAUGUUACACAGGUAUAAGAUGUACCAUGUUACACAGGUAUAAGAUGUACCAUGUUAUAUAGGUAUCAGAUGUACCAUGUUACACAGGUAUAAGAUGUACCAUGUUAUAUAGGUAUAAGAUGUACCGUGUUACACAGGUAUAAGAUGUACCGUGUUACACAGGUAUGAGAUGUACCAUGUUACACAGGUAUAAGAUGUACCGUGUUACACAGGUAUAAGAUGUACCGUGUUACACAGGUAUAAGAUGUACCAUGUUACACAGGUAUAAGAUGUACCGUGUUACACAGGUAUGAGAUGCACCGUGUUACACAGGUAUGAGAUGCACCGUGUUACACAGGUAUGAGAUGUACCAUGUUACACAGGUAUAAGAUGUACCAUGUUAUAUAGGUAUCAGAUGUACCAUGUUACACAGGUAUAAGAUGUACCAUGUUAUAUAGGUAUAAGAUGUACCGUGUUACACAGGUAUAAGAUGUACCAUGUUACACAGGUAUAAGAUGUACCAUGUUACACAGGUAUAAGAUGUACCAUGUUAUAUAGGUAUCAGAUGUACCAUGUUACACAGGUAUAAGAUGUACCGUGUUACACAGGUAUAAGAUGUACCAUGUUACACAGGUAUAAGAUGUACCAUGUUAUAUAGGUAUCAGAUGUACCAUGUUACACAGGUAUAAGAUGUACACCUACUGGCUCCUUACAUUCCCUUGCAGUCCAUUCUCCUGCAGCACCAGUGUGUGCUGGAGGUGUAAAGUGUUGUAGAUGUUACAUAGUUCUAUGUAUACACUCAGUAUAUGUAUACACUCAGUAUAUGUAUACACUCAGUAUAUGUAUACACUCAGUAUAUAUAUACACUCAGUAUAUAUGUAUACACAUGUAUUUACAGACGUUGUCUCUUUGUCCUGGACUGUUUGUGAACAUAUUCUAUGUGCAGUACCGUAUAUUACCGUAGAAAAGCCGAUCUCAUAGAUAAACCGAUCCCCCUAACUUGACCCUUAAAAUCAGUAUCAAAAUGGUAUGAUUCAUACAUUCAUACAUAAGCCCCCACCAGGGUGGUCGUAGAUGGGGUCCUAAUCACCGCCAGCUCAGACCACAAGACAACUGACAGCAAGCCGACCCUACAGCAGGCUCCCUAUUUAUAUUCUUCAAAACUUUGGUUUAUUGUUUGAUGGGCAUUCUAGAAGUUGGUGACUCAAAAAUGAAAUUAGCUUGAUAACGAUGUAAGAAUCUACAUCGAAAUGUCGCUCUAUGCAUUAAAUAAGAAGUUGUCAUCCAUAAAGUUGUAUGUUUCAUAUUUUAAAAUUUGGCUUAUCUACGGUAAUAUUCGGUACAUCCUCCUUUCAUGUCCAGGUGUUUACCAUAUUGUCUUGUGUAUUGUGUGCAACCCCAAUUGUUUAGUUUAUUACAUAUAGCUCCUUUUGUAUGUGUUACAUGUGUUAUUAUUAUUUACAAAUUAAGUCACUAACUUGUUAGUGAUUGCAGUAAAGAGUUUGUGCUAUCUUCACAUGAGAUGACGUACUAGUAGGUGUCUGGAAUUCAACUUAUUCAGGCAUUAUUCCCAAACAGGCUGUCAGAUCAUUGUACAGGUACAAAAUAAUACCAUGGUAUAAAGUUAUCAUAUUAUCGGAAAUUAAUUGAAGGUUGGUACAUAAUUCUGAUCGCUAGAAUCACUGUCAGCAGGGGUCACUUUGAGGGAUGAAUUUUAUUUAUGCUUUUUAAGGACAACUUCUCAGUCCCCUGCAUACAGGCAAGCUUUCAUGGGCAGUGUUCUAGUGUGCGUGUGCGUGUGCAUGCUUUUAUACCUACAUUUAAGUGCUGUAAACCUGGCGUUAGAGUUUUAGUGCCAAGUGGAUGCUACUUCCCUGAGAACACAUUCCUAUCGUGGCCUGUUUCCAUCUGUUGUAGGUGCGUAUAUGUCUGGUGUAGCAUCUCCUCCUGCCUGUCUUUCAGUGUUUCAUUGUGUAACAAUAUAGAAAGAGAUGUUGA
RNAcentral lists this long non-coding RNA (3296 nucleotides) under Haliotis rubra (blacklip abalone). Its description in RNAcentral is "uncharacterized LOC124279075". The record is from RNAcentral. Lineage: Eukaryota; Metazoa; Mollusca; Gastropoda; Lepetellida; Haliotidae.